UAUUAGAUACUCAUCUAUACAGGUUAUCAGCAAAAAAAAAAAAAGAAGUUAAUUUAGGCGUUCCUUGAUCUUUGAUGAUAACACCUCAUGAGAGAGGUACUGUAAUGUCCCACCAUGCAAUGAUAAUAUUUUCAUCCAUCCAUCAGUACCUGUGUCCAUGCUGUCCAGGUCCAGGUGGUGAAGAACAAACGAUGAAUCAGUCCCAGCUGAUGGAUGAUCCUGAAGUGGUAGCAGGCUUUCUUUACAAAUGCAUAAAUCUGGCUUUCUUAUAGUUUAACAAAUUAGAAACUAUGUUUAAUGCAAUCUGCUAUUAGUGUAUGAUAAUCCAGUACCGGUGUGAAGAGUGUGGGUGUUGUAGUUGUUGAGCUAGGCAUAGGCGUCAUUUUAACCAGGGACGCCGGGGACAUGUCCCCGGCAAAAUUUGUGAUUGGCAGCUGUGUCCCCCCCACUUUAAAAAAAGCCUGCUGAUGAGGAUUUUUGUUUUACCAGCUCAGAUCUUAUACCAGGGGUCGGCAACCUGUUCCCAUCAAAGAGCCAUUAUUACCCGUUUCCCACGGUAAUUUUGGAUGGACCUUAAUAAGCAGUGACUUAAGUGAAGCAGGCUGUCAUGGUCUGUGGUGAGCUGUCAGCCUGUAACCAUGUUUUCUCCUGAGUACUGUUUUCACAGGUGGGCGUGUCUGAGAGCUCCCAGCUGCAGCUGAUCUCACCAUCAAGGUCCAGGGGAUUUAAGGAGCAGUGUGACACUUCACCACGCCGGAUGAUUACUCUUUUGGGUUCCUCACAAUCUCUCACCAGCUCCAGAACAAGACCCGGAUCUCAGCCUGCCUGACACACUGCUUCAUCCCCUGGCCGCCCGCUCUCAGCCGCUCACCUUCCAACGUCCAUUCCUGUUCCUACACCUCUGGACAAAACAAUAUCCUUACCUGUGGAUCUCCUCAGCUCACCCGGACCUAGCAACCUUCCUGUACAAAUACCACUACCUAGAAACAGUAAGACCAGUCUUUCCGACAACGUUUCCAUUUGUUUUCGCCUCAUAUUCACUCUGUCUCCCUCCUUAGAAUCUCCCCCCUGGAUUCCUGCUGCCAGUCCUGCGUCUCGUCUGCUCCCGUCUCUCACAUCGCUCUUUAUGUAGAAAUAAAAACCUUUUUACUUA
Non-coding RNA from Nothobranchius furzeri (turquoise killifish), 1153 nucleotides. The record is from RefSeq and is a predicted model, not a curated record. Lineage: Eukaryota; Metazoa; Chordata; Actinopteri; Cyprinodontiformes; Nothobranchiidae.